Molecule: ribosomal RNA, 274 nt
Filed under: uncultured bacterium
Lineage: Bacteria
Description: partial 16S ribosomal RNA
Rfam family: Bacterial small subunit ribosomal RNA
Source: RNAcentral
AUACGGAGGAUCCAAGCGUUAUCGGGAAUCAUUGGGUUUAAAGGGUCCGUAGGCGGGUUUAUAAGUCAGUGGUGAAAGUUUGCGGCUCAACCGUAAAAUUGCCAUUGAUACUGUAGAUCUUGAAUUAGUGUGAAGUGAUUAGAAUAAGUAGUGUAGCGGUGAAAUGCAUAGAUAUUACUUAGAAUACCAAUUGCGAAGGCAGGUCACUAACACUAUAUUGACGCUGAGGGACGAAAGCGUGGGGAGCGAACAGGAUUAGAAACCCCAGUAGUCC